CGCGGCGCGUAAAUUCAAAGGCGUUCCUCGGCGACCUUACGACCUUCUCAGUAGGAGUUGGUUGUGACUCGACUCCGACGCGCGUUGUAUCCGCCGCUAAUGAAGACGCAUACACACCGGUGACGUUGCGGCGCAAUAAUGAAGAUCUACGGGCGAAAGUAAAGCCACGGCAUGGCUUGUCGACCGUAUACUAUACACACUUGCGUGUGUAGCCAACUGAGAAGGAGAAGGCGGCAGGCAUUGCGAAGAAAUACGCGGGAAGAAGCUGUUCAGCGGGUCGGCUGAAUGGCCGGUGGCCAGAUGUUCUUCCCUUCUUCACAUCUGAGAGAUCGAUUUUCCGCUUCAGUCACGUUUCUCGAUCGAGGAUACUGCAGAAGGUUCGCACAGAGCCAAGCCAUUAAAAACACACAAUUAGUAGAGCCGCAACAAACAACGAUAAUAGUCGUUACACGAUGGCCAAUUGUAUACGGCAGAAUUUUUUAGAUCGAAGCAAGAAACUAAACGAUCGUUUAUAAUAUUCACAUUGAAAAGCUGAGAAAAUUUCAAUUAUACAAGAUUGAAAGGACAAUUAAUCCUAUUUAUCGAAUAGACUAAUUAAACUACCACGAGACAAAUUGAUUAACCCGAUCUCUACUAAACAGACUAAUUAAAACACU
Molecule: unclassified non-coding RNA, 656 nt
Filed under: Bombus terrestris (buff-tailed bumblebee)
Lineage: Eukaryota; Metazoa; Arthropoda; Insecta; Hymenoptera; Apidae
Description: misc RNA ENSBTSG00005020581.1
Source: RNAcentral